Molecule: ribosomal RNA, 431 nt
Filed under: uncultured bacterium
Lineage: Bacteria
Description: bacterial SSU rRNA
Rfam family: Bacterial small subunit ribosomal RNA
Source: RNAcentral
AACGAACGCUGGCGGCAGGCCUAACACAUGCAAGUCGAGCGCACCUUCGGGUGAGCGGCGGACGGGUUAGUAACGCGUGGGAACGUGCCCUUCUCUACGGAAUAGCCUCUGGAAACGGAGAGUAAUACCGUAUACGCCCUUUGGGGGAAAGAUUUAUCGGAGAAGGAUCGGCCCGCGUUAGAUUAGGUAGUUGGUGGGGUAAUGGCCUACCAAGUCUACGAUCUUUAGCUGGUUUUAGAGGAUGAUCAGCAACACUGGGACUGAGACACGGCCCAGACUCCUACGGGAGGCAGCAGUGGGGAAUCUUAGACAAUGGGCGCAAGCCUGAUCUAGCCAUGCCGCGUGAGUGAAGAAGGCCUUAGGGUCGUAAAACUCUUUCGCCAGAGAUGAUAAUGACAGUAUCUGGUAAAGAAACCCCGGCUAACUCCGUG